CUUUAAACACAGCCCUGCCAGAAAACAGAGCCCAGAGCUAUUUGGAGAAGGUAUACAGAGCUAACCUUCACCAAAUCAGCUUCUAGACACAGCCCUGCCAGAAUACAGAGCCCAGAGCUAUUUGGAGAAGGUAUACAGAGCUAACCUUCACCAAAUCAGCUUCUAGACACAGCCCUGCCAGAAUACAGAGCCCAGAGCUAUUUGGAGAAGGUAUACAGAGCUAACCUUCACCAAAUCAGUCUUUAAACACAGCCCUGCCAGAAUACAGAGCCCAGAGCUAUUUGGAGAAGGUAUACAGAGCUAACCUUCACCAAAUCAGCUUCUAGACACAGCCCUGCCAGAAUACAGAGCCCAGAGCUAUUUGGAGAAGGUAUACAGAGCUAACCUUCACCAAAUCAGCUUCUAGACACAGCCCUGCCAGAAUACAGAGCCCAGAGCUAUUUGGAGAAGGUAUACAGAGCUAACCUUCACCAAAUCAGCUUCUAGACACAGCCCUGCCAGAAUACAGAGCCCAGAGCUAUUUGGAGAAGGUAUACAGAGCUAACCUUCACCAAAUCACUCUUUAAACACAGCCCUGCCAGAAUACAGAGCCCAGAGCUAUUUGGAGAAGGUAUACAGAGCUAACCUUCACCAAAUCACUCUUUAAACACAGCCCUGCCAGAAUACAGAGCCCAGAGCUAUUUGGAGAAGGUAUACAGAGCUAACCCCCAACCAAACCACCCUUUAAACACAGCCCUGCCAGCUCACUCAUACAACAUCAAGCAGACAACAUCGACAUGCCAAAUUGAAGUAGUAACAGGCGCGGGUAACAUCCAGGAGUGUCUCGCU
This is a long non-coding RNA of Eriocheir sinensis (Chinese mitten crab), 828 nucleotides long. RefSeq lists it as uncharacterized. The record is from RefSeq and is a predicted model, not a curated record. Lineage: Eukaryota; Metazoa; Arthropoda; Malacostraca; Decapoda; Varunidae. The transcript has 3 exons.